AGCGAACGCUGGCGGCAGGCUUAACACAUGCAAGUCGAGCGGGCGUAGCAAUACGUCAGCGGCAGACGGGUGAGUAACGCGUGGGAACGUACCUUUUGGUUCGGAACAACCCAGGGAAACUUGGGCUAAUACCGGAUAAGCCCUUACGGGGAAAGGAUUUAUCGCCGAAAGAUCGGCCCGCGUCUGAUUAGCUAGUUGGUGGGGUAAGUGGCCUACCAAGGCGACGAUCCAUAGCUGGUCUGAGAGGAUGAUCAGCCACAUUGGGACUGAGACACGG
RNAcentral lists this ribosomal RNA (277 nucleotides) under uncultured bacterium. RNAcentral's name for it is "partial 16S ribosomal RNA". It matches the Rfam family "Bacterial small subunit ribosomal RNA", at positions 29 to 329 of the family's 1533-position model. The record is from RNAcentral.